Molecule: ribosomal RNA, 257 nt
Filed under: uncultured bacterium
Lineage: Bacteria
Description: partial 16S ribosomal RNA
Rfam family: Bacterial small subunit ribosomal RNA
Source: RNAcentral
CGGACGGGUGAGCAACGCGUGAGCAACCUGCCUUUCAGAGAGGGAUAACGUUUGGAAACGAACGCUAAUACCGCAUGACAUUAUCUUAUCGCAUGGUAGGAUAAUCAAAGGAGCAAUCCGCUGAAAGAUGGGCUCGCGUCCGAUUAGGUAGUUGGUGGGGUAACGGCCCACCAAGCCGACGAUCGGUAGCCGGACUGAGAGGUUGGACGGCCACAUUGGGACUGAGACACGGCCCAGACUCCUACGGGAGGCAGCAG